GUUGCCUCAAGAUCCAUUGAUACAGUUUUUCCAUUCCAUGGCGUUCACCGGAGAGGAAGGAAAGUUUCUGUUGGUUCAUAGCCUGAGUAUAAAGCUGAGAAAGGGAAUUAGCAGCGCUACAAAAAGUCGAAUACAUGGUUCGAUCCACCUCAUCAAGGCUCGAUGCUAGAGACUUCCUUUUCUUCCCCAUCUUCAAUCGCCUCCUCCUAAUCCCUUAACCUUAUCUUUUUCAAUCGGUUUCGAUAACCCAAAAGAAUCUCCGGCGAAUUUUCGGUAGAUUUCGACGAAUUUCACGGUAGAGGUUGGUAUGAAAUUGUAUUUGUAAGCA
This 328-nucleotide unclassified non-coding RNA is filed under the name Hevea brasiliensis (rubber tree). The record is from RNAcentral. Lineage: Eukaryota; Viridiplantae; Streptophyta; Magnoliopsida; Malpighiales; Euphorbiaceae.